This 73-nucleotide transfer RNA is filed under the name Stegodyphus mimosarum. It matches the Rfam family "tRNA". Rfam says of the family: Transfer RNA (tRNA) molecules are approximately 80 nucleotides in length. Their secondary structure includes four short double-helical elements and three loops (D, anti-codon, and T loops). Further hydrogen bonds mediate the characteristic L-shaped molecular structure. tRNAs have two regions of fundamental functional importance: the anti-codon, which is responsible for specific mRNA codon recognition, and the 3' end, to which the tRNAs corresponding amino acid is attached (by aminoacyl-tRNA synthetases). tRNAs cope with the degeneracy of the genetic code in two manners: having more than one tRNA (with a specific anti-codon) for a particular amino acid; and 'wobble' base-pairing, i.e. permitting non-standard base-pairing at the 3rd anti-codon position. The record is from Rfam by way of RNAcentral. Lineage: Eukaryota; Metazoa; Arthropoda; Arachnida; Araneae; Eresidae.
GCCUUCGUGGUGUAAUGGUCAGCACACUUUUCGCGUAAGCGAGAGGUCCGAGGUUCGAGUCCCGGCGAGGACA